GACGGAGGGUGCUAGCGUUGUUCGGAAUGACUGGGCGUAAAGGGCGCGUAGGCGGCCGCUUGCGUCGGAUGUGAAAGCCCGGGGCUCAACCCCGGAACGGCAUCCGAUACGGGGCGGCUCGAGACCGAGAGAGGUGAGUGGAAUAGCCAGUGUAGAGGUGAAAUUCGUAGAUAUUGGCUGGAACACCGGUGGCGAAAGCGGCUCUCUGGCCCGGUUCUGACGCUGAGGCGCGAAAGCGUGGGGAGCGAACGGG
RNAcentral lists this ribosomal RNA (253 nucleotides) under uncultured bacterium. RNAcentral describes it as "partial 16S ribosomal RNA". It matches the Rfam family "Bacterial small subunit ribosomal RNA", at positions 524 to 776 of the family's 1533-position model. The record is from RNAcentral.